UGAGGAAUUGUUCGCAAUGGGCGCAAGCCUGACGACGCAACGCCGCGUGGAGGACGAAGAUCUUCGGGUCGUAAACUCCUGUCGAGCGGGAAGAACGGCCCGCGGGUUAAUACCCCGCGGGCGUGACGGUACCGCUAGAGGAAGCCCCGGCUAACUCCGUGCCAGCAGCCGCGGUAAUACGGGGGGGGCUAGCGUUGUUCGGAAUUACUGGGCGUAAAGGGCUCGUAGGCGGCCAGCUAAGUCGGUUGUGAAAUCCCUCGGCUCAACCGGGGAACUGCGACCGAUACUGGUUGGCUUGAAGUCGGGAGAGGGAUGCGGAAUUCCAGGUGUAGCGGUGAAAUGCGUAGAUAUCUGGAGGAACACCCGUGGCGAAGGCGGCAUCCUGGACCGAUCUUGACGCUGAGGAGCGAAAGCCAGGGUAGCAAACGGG
Molecule: ribosomal RNA, 430 nt
Filed under: uncultured Chloroflexota bacterium
Lineage: Bacteria; Bacillati; Chloroflexota
Also listed under: 1 other name
Description: bacterial SSU rRNA
Rfam family: Bacterial small subunit ribosomal RNA
Source: RNAcentral